CAGAUGGCAUUUAACUCCGCGCUUACUGCCACUAGGCAGCUGGUGGAGCGCACAAUUGGUGUCCUUAAAGGGCGGUUUCGUGUGCUCCACCGCACUGGUGGCGACAUCAUGUAUUCGCCGGAGAUGGCAAGUAAAAUAGUGGUCCUGUGCGCAAUACUACAUAAUAUCGCGGUAAGGAGUAGUGUAGAGCUUCCUCAGGCAGAGGAAUUGCCUGAUGAGGAGCCAGGGGUUGUUCGACACUUCGGUGGUGGGAGUGUUACACGGAGGGGGAGCCAAGUGAGGGCAAGGAUUGUUGCCGAAUAUUUCAGCUGAAUGAUCACACAAACUGUGGACAACAACAACGGCAGACCUCUCCGCCCCCUUCCCCUUCCCAGUCCCCCUCCCCUUCUCACUCCCCCUCCCCUUCUCACUCCCCCUCCCCUUCCCA
Pseudophryne corroboree (corroboree frog) is the source of this 427-nucleotide long non-coding RNA. RefSeq lists it as uncharacterized. The transcript has 3 exons. NCBI's taxonomy places the organism in Eukaryota, Metazoa, Chordata, Amphibia, Anura, Myobatrachidae. The record is from RefSeq and is a predicted model, not a curated record.